This 253-nucleotide ribosomal RNA is filed under the name uncultured Coprococcus sp. RNAcentral's name for it is "partial 16S ribosomal RNA". It matches the Rfam family "Bacterial small subunit ribosomal RNA", at positions 524 to 776 of the family's 1533-position model. Lineage: Bacteria; Bacillati; Bacillota; Clostridia; Lachnospirales; Lachnospiraceae. The record is from RNAcentral.
UAAGGAGGAUGCGAGCGUUAUCCGGAUUUACUGGGUGUAAAGGGAGCGUAGGCGGCGAUGCAAGUCAGAAGUGAAAGCCCGGGGCUCAACUCCGGGACUGCUUUUGAAACUGUGUUGCUAGAUUGCAGGAGAGGUAAGUGGAAUUCCUAGUGUAGCGGUGAAAUGCGUAGAUAUUAGGAGGAACACCAGUGGCGAAGGCGGCUUGCUGGACUGUAAAUGACGCUGAGGCUCGAAAGUGUGGGGAGCAAACAGG